UUUCCUACGGGGCGCAGCAGUGGGGAAUAUUGCACAAUGGGGGAAACCCUGAUGCAGCAACGCCGCGUGAGUGAAGAAGUCAUUCGUGAUGUAAAGCUCUAUCAGCAGGGAAGAAAAUGACGGUACCUGAGUAAGAAGCCCCGGCUAACUACGUGCCAGCAGCCGCGGUAAUACGGAGGAUGCGAGCGUUAUCCGGAUUUAUUGGGUUUAAAGGGUGCGCAGGCGGCACGGCAAGCCGGCGGUCAAAUCGCGGGGCUCAACCCCGCCCAGCCGUCGGAACUGCCGGGCUCGAGUGGGCGAGAAGG
Molecule: ribosomal RNA, 305 nt
Filed under: uncultured bacterium
Lineage: Bacteria
Description: bacterial SSU rRNA
Rfam family: Bacterial small subunit ribosomal RNA
Source: RNAcentral